RNAcentral lists this long non-coding RNA (310 nucleotides) under Mytilus galloprovincialis (Mediterranean mussel). The record is from RNAcentral. Lineage: Eukaryota; Metazoa; Mollusca; Bivalvia; Mytilida; Mytilidae.
GCCCUGAUUUUUUGUUAAAAAUUUUGCUUUAUAUACAGCAAAAUUGUUUGAGUGUGUAUCAAAUUAAGAUAAACAGCUGAAGGACGCCGCCAGUGCGGGAAUUUCUUGCUGCAUUGAAGACCUAUUGGUGACCUUCUGCUGUUGUCUGCUAUUUGAUUGGGUUGUUGUCUCUUUGACAUUCUUUUUUUUACCAUAUAUGAUGUCAAGGCAGCCUGUCUUUACUCUUUUAAACACAUGAUCCUAUUUCUGAUAGUUCAUAUUAUUCAGAAGAUUUAAAUUAAGGUGGUACCAAAAACACUUUCACUAAAAU